GUGCCUACGGGGGGCAGCAGUGAGGAAUAUUGGUCAAUGGGCGCGAGCCUGAACCAGCCAAGUAGCGUGAAGGAUGACUGCCCUACGGGUUGUAAACUUCUUUUAUAAAGGAAUAAAGUGAGGCACGUGUGCCUUUUUGUAUGUAUUUUAUGAAUAAGGAUCGGCUAACUCCGUGCCAGCAGCCGCGGUAAUACGGAGGAUGCGAGCGUUAUCCGGAUUUAUUGGGUUUAAAGGGUGCGUAGGCGGAACAUUAAGUCAGCGGUAAAAUCGAGGGGCUCAACCCCUUUAAGCCGUUGAAACUGGUG
This 305-nucleotide ribosomal RNA is filed under the name uncultured bacterium. Its description in RNAcentral is "bacterial SSU rRNA". It matches the Rfam family "Bacterial small subunit ribosomal RNA", at positions 335 to 638 of the family's 1533-position model. The record is from RNAcentral.